RNAcentral lists this ribosomal RNA (430 nucleotides) under uncultured bacterium. Its description in RNAcentral is "bacterial SSU rRNA". It matches the Rfam family "Bacterial small subunit ribosomal RNA", at positions 355 to 776 of the family's 1533-position model. The record is from RNAcentral.
UGGGGAAUAUUGCGCAAUGGGCGAAAGCCUGACGCAGCGACGCCGCGUGGAGGAUGAAGGUCUUCGGAUUGUAAACUUCUGUUAAGUGGGAAAAAAGACUCGUUUUUAAUAGAGACGAGGGAUGAUUGUACCAUUAGAGAAAGCACUGGCUAACUUCGUGCCAGCAGCCGCGGUAAUACGAAGGGUGCGAGCGUUAUUCGGAAUCACUAGGGCGUAAAGGGUGUGUAGGCGGUGUAUUAAGUCUAUCGUUAAAUUCCUCGGCCUAACUGGGGACCCGCGAUGGAUACUGAUAUGCUGGAGGUUGGAAGAGAGGAGUGGAAUUCUCGGAGUAGCGGUAAAAUGCGUAGAUCUCGAGAGGAACACCAAUUGCGAAGGCAGCUCCUUGGUCCAUACCUGACGCUGAAACACGAAAGCGUGGGGAGCAAACAGG